UUGGACACUUCGAAAAUUUCCUGGUGCAGAAGGAGGGGGAAACUAAAAUUGACUGGGAUUAAACUGAGUUAUACAAAAGCUAAUACCUAUUUCCUAUACCCUGCAGUUGAGGGUGGAGUCAUUCCUGCUACACUUGUGUCAAGUACUGUAUAAUUUAUGAUGUGAAGCCAUGGAGUUUGAGUCAACCCAGAUCUGAGUUUGAAUUCCAGCUGUGUGACCCAAGCUUUUGUCCCAGCUUUUUCUGAGUUUUCCUCCUGCAGGGCCCCCAAGGCCUGGGGAUAAACAGCCCACAUUCUGCACAUUCCCUGCUUUGCAGUACCCCUAAGCAGGCAGCAGAUUUAUUUGGACCUCCAGCUCUCAGAGACAACUACUGCCUUUCAGACAGGAAAACAGGCCCAGAGGAGUUAAGUAAUUGGCCCCAAAGCCACACAACUAGCAAGUGACAGAACCAGGAUUUGAACCCAGGUCUGUCUGGCUCCAAAGGCCAGAGAAAGGAGGGGCAAAGAGGGAGAAUGGAGGAGCUGCCUGAAGUGAGGAACGGGUGAGGAAUGGAGGAGGCUUGCAUUUUCUUUCUUUCCCUUCCACGGACAGCUUGCUCAGGAACGCUGACUGGGUGUCCCUCUCUCUCUCUGACCUACCUAAUUUAGGCCUGGAGCUUUGAAUGAGAACAGGUGGGUUUUUUUCCUGCCUGGUGCCUCUGUUUCCCCAAUUUCAUCUGAUAUCCUUCCUAGCUGUGAUAAGGAGGAGCCAGCAGUGGGGGAAAUUUGAACUCUGGGCUCUGAGUAAAAUCUGGCAGAGCUUCCUCCGGAACCUCCCUCCUCUCAGGCCUUUCUGUUCCUGGACAAGUUGACCAGUGUGUGAGUCUAUCUGAGCAGCUCCCUUGUGCUGGCUGCUCUGUAGGGCACAACAACAAGAUAAGGCUUGAUAACAGGGAAUGAGGCCAGCCAGAAUGUGCACAGGGAUCCUGCAUAGCAGUGAGCAUAAGGAAUUCAGGGAUGCAGGCAUUCGGGGUGGGUUGGAAUAGUCAGGGGAGAAUUCCUAGAGGAAGUGGGUCUCAAGAGGUGGGUAGGGUUGGGAUGAAAGAAAAAGCAAAGAGUGUUCUUGGAGAUGGGAAUAAUUCAGAAGUCUUGGAGAGUACGCCUCUCUCUGGAGCUCUGGGAACCCCAAUGAUGGAGGAAUUCUAUCAUCUACCCAUUCAUUCUUUCACUCAUUCAUUUAAUAAACAUAUAUUAAACACUUACUUCAUAUUUAGAGUGGUGAUGGCCGG
This 1267-nucleotide long non-coding RNA is filed under the name Homo sapiens (human). RNAcentral's name for it is "HSALNT0389250". Lineage: Eukaryota; Metazoa; Chordata; Mammalia; Primates; Hominidae. The record is from RNAcentral.